GGUAACAAUGACGAUAAGUUGAGCACAUAACGUACUCUCUCUCUCUCUCUUCUCCCUCUCUCACGCUAUAAAUAAGCUGACCCAAACCCAAUUCAAUCUUCUCUUCCUCUUUUGCUUCUCUCUUUCACCCACCGCUCAAAUUAAAACAUGGGGGAACAUGAGAAGAGUCAAGCUCCCAUGGAGUUGGAAUCAGAGAUGGAGAGGCUCCCUCUAGCUAGACCUCCUAGCCCAUAUCUUCUCCCUCCUCUCCUCCUUCAGAUAUUUAGCUCAGGCGAGUGGGGUUUGUAGGAAAUGGAGGAGAGCGGUGGAGCAGUCGAUGGCGGGGAGAGAGAAGCUCAGCUUCAACGGUUGGAAGAUGGAUGACGAGUCAACUGCUCGGCUUGUCCGAGUUGCUUACUGCCUGAAGGAACUUGACAUGGCUCUACCAGAUAUCUUUGGCGAGGUGUGCCAGCAGCCUGACAUCUAUAUCCUUGUGGGGAAUGACAGCAAUCACUGACAAGGGUGUGAUUCAGCUGGUACUAAUUUCCCAUACUUUUAAAUACACCAACCAUUUAUUUGUUAAAUCCCAUAACUCCAGGUUCUAGUUUCUAUUGAGAUUCUUGCAUCACUGACUGUGAAUUUUC
Long non-coding RNA from Asparagus officinalis (garden asparagus), 623 nucleotides. RefSeq lists it as uncharacterized. The record is from RefSeq and is a predicted model, not a curated record. The transcript is spliced from 3 exons. Lineage: Eukaryota; Viridiplantae; Streptophyta; Magnoliopsida; Asparagales; Asparagaceae.